UACGGAAGGGGGCUAGCGUUGCUCGGAAUCACUGGGCGUAAAGCGCACGUAGGCGGAUUGCUAAGUCAGGGGUGAAAUCCUGGAGCUCAACUCCAGAACUGCCUUUGAUACUGAGGAUCUUGAGUUCGGGAGAGGUGAGUGGAACUGCGAGUGUAGAGGUGAAAUUCGUAGAUAUUCGCAAGAACACCAGUGGCGAAGGCGGCUCACUGGCCCGAUACUGACGCUGAGGCACGAAAGCGUGGGGAGCAAACAGG
This 254-nucleotide ribosomal RNA is filed under the name uncultured bacterium. Its description in RNAcentral is "partial 16S ribosomal RNA". It matches the Rfam family "Bacterial small subunit ribosomal RNA", at positions 524 to 776 of the family's 1533-position model. The record is from RNAcentral.